RNAcentral lists this unclassified non-coding RNA (220 nucleotides) under plant metagenome. Its description in RNAcentral is "partial contains small subunit ribosomal RNA, internal transcribed spacer 1, and 5.8S ribosomal RNA". The record is from RNAcentral.
UUUCCGUAGGUGAACCUGCGGAAGGAUCAUUACAGAGUUCAUGCCCUCACGGGUAGAUCUCCCACCCUUGAAUAUUUAUACCUUAGUUGCUUUGGCAGGCCGUGGAAACACCAUGGGCUCCGGCUUAUGCGUGCCUGCCAGAGGAAACAAACUCUGUUUUUAGUGAUGUCUGAGUACUACAUAAUAGUUAAAACUUUCAACAACGGAUCUCUUGGUUCCG